GCAUCUUCACACUUUACUUACCUCAUUGCUUCUCGAAGUGCCCCACGUUCACUAAGAGUCGUAUGCUUGAUGUCAUCAAAAUUAUUUUCCAGCAUCUCACAGUUCUGCAAUAAAUGGAAAAAUCCAGAUUAGAUUCUUAAGCAGCAUUCUAGCAUCAUAAAUUAUAUUCACUGUAGUGCAAACAUAACUGAUUUAUAUUGUUUAUAUAUUCACACAAAUUAUGCAUUCUCUUUUAAUUGCAUAGAAGUCAUUAAAAGCGACACUGUGAAUUCCGUAACAAAGUAAGAACAAAAGCUUAUGAUACGGUUGUCCUGGAAAUCCUUUUAUCAGUGUUCUAUAGUGUGGUAUAUAGAAUUUUCUUCUAUAUCAAUUUUUUUUAAGGAAUAACAGAUGUGUUCUUUUGCAGUAAAAAAUACUACAAAACUACUAUUAUAUCUAACAGGCUAACUUAUAAAUGUGGCAAAGUAGAAAUACCAUAUGCUGAAUUUAGACAUCAGAAUCUAUACAUUAAAUUCUGUACAAUGAAACAUUCCGUAUUACAUGAAAAGACUAAUCAUCCUAAAUUCUAUGAGUUUCAAACUUUAAAAUAGUGUGUUUAUAAAGAUAUCACAACAGCUGAUUAAGUUUCUUUUUUCCAAACUGAAGAAGCAAAGGCUCUAGUAUUUCCAAAUGAAAAGAUUCUAGUAUUUCCAUUUCAUUAAAAUGAAAUUAGCAAUUC
This is a long non-coding RNA of Dermochelys coriacea (leatherback sea turtle), 718 nucleotides long. RefSeq lists it as uncharacterized. The transcript has 3 exons. Lineage: Eukaryota; Metazoa; Chordata; Testudines; Dermochelyidae. The record is from RefSeq and is a predicted model, not a curated record.